GAUGAACGCUGGCGGCGUGCCUAAUACAUGCAAGUCGAGCGAACAGACGAGGAGCUUGCUCCUCUGUCGUUAGCGGCGGACGGGUGAGUAACACGUGGAUAACCUACCUAUAAGACUGGGAUAACUUCGGGAAACCGGAGCUAAUACCGGAUAAUAUAUUUAACCGCAUGGUUCAAUAGUGAAAGACGGUUUUGCUGUCACUUAUAGAUGGAUCCGCGCCGCAUUAGCUAGUUGGUAAGGUAACGGCUUACCAAGGCGACGAUGCGUAGCCGACCUGAGAGGGUGAUCGGCCACACUGGAACUGAGACACGGUCCAGACUCCUACGGGAGGCAGCAGUAGGGAAUCUUCCGCAAUGGGCGAAAGCCUGACGGAGCAACGCCGCGUGAGUGAUGAAGGUCUUCGGAUCGUAAAGCUCUGUUAUUAGGGAAGAACAAGUGUGGAAGUAACUAUGCACGUCUUGACGGUACCUAAUCAGAAAGCCACGGCUAACUACGUG
This 497-nucleotide ribosomal RNA is filed under the name uncultured bacterium. RNAcentral's name for it is "partial 16S ribosomal RNA". It matches the Rfam family "Bacterial small subunit ribosomal RNA", at positions 28 to 507 of the family's 1533-position model. The record is from RNAcentral.